Uranotaenia lowii is the source of this 510-nucleotide long non-coding RNA. RefSeq lists it as uncharacterized. The transcript has 3 exons. NCBI's taxonomy places the organism in Eukaryota, Metazoa, Arthropoda, Insecta, Diptera, Culicidae. The record is from RefSeq and is a predicted model, not a curated record.
GAACGAUUGUUUUCGAAUAUUCGAAGUUUCGAAUGACAAAGUUUGUUUUUUAUAUAAUGCAAACUGAAUCUUUAUUUAGUUAUCUCUAUUCUCCAAUUAAAUUAAAUGUGUUAGAAUAGGUUUAUUAAAAAAUCAAGAAUAUGUUCGAUUUCGGUAAUCCUGUAUUAAUGGAAACAUACGGUGAUGGAAUAAGGAGUGAUUUUUAGCUGUGGAACCAAAUUCACUUCACUUCAAAGCUGCUGUUUUUAUGGAAAAUGCUUGAUGCUGUAUUGAUAAACGAACUUGGUUCACCAGAGGAAGAUACGAUUGCUUUGGAGGCUAGAACAAGAAUGGAAUCAUCAGUUAGAAAACGGAACUGUAAUGAUAUUUAUUCAAUUAUAGUAAGUAAAGUUUAAUGAAGAUAAAUGACAUUUGAAAAGUUUUUAAUUAUGUAUUGAAAAAUAUCAAAUUUCAUAUUCUUCGAGCAUUUCAUUCCAAGUCUACUUUUACCCAACUUUAAAUUCUCUAGAA